UAGGUGGCGAGCGUUGUCCGGAUUUAUUGGGCGUAAAGCGCGCGCAGGCGGUGCGCUAAGUCUGCGGUGAAAUCUCCCUGGCUCAACCGGGAGGGGGCCGUGGAGACUGGCGCACUGGAGGGACCUAGAGGCCGGUGGAAUUCCCGGUGUAGUGGUGAAAUGCGUAGAGAUCGGCAGGAACACCCAGGGGGAAACCAGCCGACUGGGCAUCUACUGACGCUGAGGUGCGAGAGCGUGGGGAGCGAACCGG
This 250-nucleotide ribosomal RNA is filed under the name uncultured bacterium. RNAcentral's name for it is "partial 16S ribosomal RNA". It matches the Rfam family "Bacterial small subunit ribosomal RNA", at positions 528 to 776 of the family's 1533-position model. The record is from RNAcentral.